RNAcentral lists this ribosomal RNA (433 nucleotides) under uncultured bacterium. Its description in RNAcentral is "partial 16S ribosomal RNA". It matches the Rfam family "Bacterial small subunit ribosomal RNA", at positions 29 to 507 of the family's 1533-position model. The record is from RNAcentral.
AACGAACGCUGGCGGCAUGCCUAACACAUGCAAGUCGAACGAGACCUUCGGGUUUAGUUGCGCACGUGUGCGUACCGCCUGGGAACUUACCCUUAGGUUCGGUAUCACUCCCCGUAGGGGGUGCUAAUACCGCUUAAUCUCAUCGCACCAAAGAUUUAUCGCCUUUGGAUGGGCGCGCGUUGGAUUAGGCAGUUGGUAGUGUAAAAGCCUGCCAAGGCGACGAUGCAUAGCUGGUGUGAUAGCAUGCUCAGCCCCGCUGGGCCUGAGGCACGGCCCAGACUGCGACGGGAGGCAGCAGUGGGGAAUAUUGGACGAGGGGCGAUAGCCUGAUCCAGCAAUGCGGGGGAAGAGAUGAAGGCGUUAGGGUUGUAAAGCUGCUUUACACGGGAUGAUAAUGACAGUACCGGGAGAAUAAGCUCCGGCUAACUCCGUG